RNAcentral lists this ribosomal RNA (886 nucleotides) under uncultured bacterium. RNAcentral describes it as "bacterial SSU rRNA". It matches the Rfam family "Bacterial small subunit ribosomal RNA", at positions 28 to 909 of the family's 1533-position model. The record is from RNAcentral.
AUUGAACGCUGGCGGCAGGCCUAACACAUGCAAGUCGAGCGGAUGAUGGGAGCUUGCUCCUUGAUUCAGCGGCGGACGGGUGAGUAAUGCCUAGGAAUCUGCCUGGUAGUGGGGGACAACGUUUCGAAAGGAACGCUAAUACCGCAUACGUCCUACGGGAGAAAGCAGGGGACCUUCGGGCCUUGCGCUAUCAGAUGAGCCUAGGUCGGAUUAGCUAGUUGGUGGGGUAAUGGCUCACCAAGGCGACGAUCCGUAACUGGUCUGAGAGGAUGAUCAGUCACACUGGAACUGAGACACGGUCCAGACUCCUACGGGAGGCAGCAGUGGGGAAUAUUGGACAAUGGGCGAAAGCCUGAUCCAGCCAUGCCGCGUGUGUGAAGAAGGUCUUCGGAUUGUAAAGCACUUUAAGUUGGGAGGAAGGGCAGUAAGUUAAUACCUUGUUGUUUUGACAUUACCGACAGAAUAAGCACCGGCUAACUCUGUGCCAGCAGCCGCGGUAAUACAGAGGGUGCAAGCGUUAAUCGGAAUUACUGGGCGUAAAGCGCGCGUAGGUGGUUCGUUAAGUUGGAUGUGAAAGCCCCGGGCUCAACCUGGGAACUGCAUCCAAAACUGGCGAGCUAGAGUACGGUAGAGGGUGGUGGAAUUUCCUGUGUAGCGGUGAAAUGCGUAGAUAUAGGAAGGAACACCAGUGGCGAAGGCGACCACCUGGACUGAUACUGACACUGAGGUGCGAAAGCGUGGGGAGCAAACAGGAUUAGAUACCCUGGUAGUCCACGCCGUAAACGAUGUCAACUAGCCGUUGGAAUCCUUGAGAUUUUAGUGGCGCAGCUAACGCAUUAAGUUGACCCCCUGGGGAGUACGGCCGCAAGGUUAAAACUCAAAGGAA